This 1405-nucleotide long non-coding RNA is filed under the name Homo sapiens (human). RNAcentral describes it as "HSALNT0292205". The record is from RNAcentral. Lineage: Eukaryota; Metazoa; Chordata; Mammalia; Primates; Hominidae.
CACCCCUCCCAACAGAAGCCUGAAGGUGGGUCAGAAGCCGUCCCCAAUCAAGUGAGCUAUAAUUAGAGCUGAAAUGCUAUUGCCAUUAGGCAAAUGUUCUGGGCUUUUCCAUUGUGACUCCUGGCUACAUUUGAUAGGUACAGAACACAGAACCAGAGGGAAACAGAGCUGGGAGAAACCCCAGCCAGCUAGGGACAGACAACAUAAUCGGGGAAAACACAAGAAUUGGGACCUUCUCUCAAAUCCCUUUCCCGCUCAAUGCAACUCCCUUCACUGACACUAUUUUAACACUGUAAGAAUCUAACAUCUUAAUAUCUAACACACUGUUGUGUUGGGGAGAGGGGGCUUGCAGCCAAAAUAUAAUAAUACAAAUAACACUGCCAUUUACUCCAGCGAUGAUACUUGCAUUCUUUCAUUUGAUUCUCACAAUCCCUCUAAGGCAGGUACCAUUACCACAUUUUACAGAUGAGUAAACUGAGGUUCAGGAUGACUGGGCAGCUUGCCCGAGGUCUAACAGGUUAAAAGACCUGAACCCAACUAUAUCCAAUCCCAAACUCACUACACUUUACUGCCUAUAAUCUUUCUUUUAGGGGUAGGGAAUGGGGCUCCAUCCUGGGAGCUGGCAUAGCCCCAGGAACCUGGUGGGCCGUGGAGGUUGCUAUGGCAACACCAAUUAAAUGGAUAGCAGGUUGGCUGCUAGGUUCUCAUUCAGUUGGGAAGCAGUGAGCAAGCCUGCUAUCAGGUCCUGCUGCCCCAAAUUCUGCCUGACCCUGACCAGAGCUCCCACUCUAGCCAACUUCCUCCAGGCAGUCUUCCGCCUUGCCUACACCGACCAAUGUAACACAGGAAGUGGGUAUCAUGGCUCUUGCACCCCAGCUAGCACAAGCAAGGGGGAAAGGGGGUCUCAGAAUACUAAGAGUUUAGGAAUCUAGGAAUGGAGAAGAUUCUGGAAUUCCGGAGUGUUACUGAUCAGGGCCCAGAGGGAGGUGGGAAGAUAUGCAGGGCUUCACAGUGAGUAGCUGGAAGAGCCCACAGGAGAGCUGGGCUUCUGUCUCCUGGGGUGCUGCCUUGGCUACUGCUCCCAUAGACGCCUUAUGAAACCUCAGAGAGCUCGAAGAGCCUUUUUUCAUAAAAGGGAGACCUGCCAUGGAUAAGCUGUUGCCAAGAGGAUGAAAGUCACAAGUGGGCGUGGCAGGGCUUUGUUCCUUCUGAAGCUCAGGACAAAGCACUGGGCUUCCCUCCUGCCUGGGAGCCUUCAGGACGGCAUGGAGUUUGGCCACGUGGUGGGAGCGCCCUGAGUGCGUGGCACAGAAUGUUCAACUGGUUACCUCUCCUGAGCCUCACAGCCUCUCAAGGAAGAUCUGAGGAGGAAACUGAGGCCCACCCCCACCCAGACUGAGGGGCA